This 1032-nucleotide long non-coding RNA is filed under the name Felis catus (domestic cat). Its description in RNAcentral is "lncRNA (ENSFCAG00000052379.1)". Lineage: Eukaryota; Metazoa; Chordata; Mammalia; Carnivora; Felidae. The record is from RNAcentral.
AUGGAGGCUCCGACGGGGCUAACCGCCCCCACAGACCGCCGCCGCCCGACGCCCCUCGCUUCCCCACCCCCCCGCGACCCCCACACGACCCUUCUUCUCCCCCCAUCCAGGGCCGCCGGGGCCGACCGGCCCCGGCCCCGCCCUCACCUCCGAGCACACCUUCCCCGUGGCACCGACCAACCCUCACCGUCCCCUCCCCCGCACCCGCGGCCCAGGCCCCCCCCCCCGCGGGAGGGGGGCUGCGGCGGGAAGCGGGGCACGAGCGGGCAAGGGCGUGGGGGUGGCGGUUCGGGGAGGAGGCGGGGAAGGAGACGGAAAGCCGGACCCGGACCGGACCCGGGGCCUGAAGGGAGGGCGGAAGGAAGGGGGGUAAAAGGUCUGCGGGGUAGGGCAAAAAAGAGAGGCGCGCAAGGCAGGAAGACGGGCCCGGGGGGGACGGACCCCCCCCCGACGGAGCGGAGAGCCAUCCAGGGCGGGCGGCGGGAGGCGGCGGACGGCGGGGCGCCCCGCGUGAGCCGAGGCUCCAAGGCCCCCCGGGACAGGCGAGAACCCGACCGGGGAGACGCCACGGGGACCCACCGCCAAGCCGCGCAUCCCGAGACGCGACGCGGCCAGGGCGCCAGCGCGGGCGGCGCGGCGACCGGGUUACGACCGGCGCCAAAGGCGAAGAAGGCGGGGGGAACGCACUCGAACCCCCCCAACCCUCAGACCCACCUCCGCGGGGGAAGGCGAGGCGAGGCGCAGAGGGGGGGGAAGCGCGCCAGCGAGGGGCGGGGAGAGGAGGGCGAAGGCACGCCAGGGACGGCGGGGGACGCCGCAGCGGCUCCCGCGCGCCUCCUGGCGGAGGCCUCCGCCCUUCUUCCCCACCCCCUCCGACCGCCCCCCCCCCAAAGGCCCCUCAACGCCCUCCCGCGCUCUCUCGUCCCUCGCGACCAGCGGGCCGGCACCGCACCGACCCGCCCGCGCCGCACGGGUGGCAAGGCACGCAAGCGGAACAGGGGGAGGGCCCCGACCGCUGCGCUCUCUCGUUAA